UUUGUGUAUCAGUUGGGUUAUAAACUGCGUUACAUAGCGCUGUUACUUCAAUUCGGUGCACAUAGUUUUCAGUUUGGUCUCAGGCAUACAUUAAUUCUUCCCAAAAGUAGAGAAAGGAAGGGAAAGGUUGCUUGUCCCCCUGGAUAUGAUCUGAUUGUGUUCUGUUGUUUGUCUGUCAUCUUAGGAUGUAGCCGUGAUAUCAUCAACAAUUCGGGUCAAUUCAACCUCGCCAUUCCCAAGUAUAGUAAAGAUGGUAUUAUAUAAUUAUAAGCAAUAAAAUAUAUCAAAGCUA
Ostrea edulis (European flat oyster) is the source of this 292-nucleotide long non-coding RNA. RefSeq lists it as uncharacterized. The transcript is spliced from 2 exons. NCBI's taxonomy places the organism in Eukaryota, Metazoa, Mollusca, Bivalvia, Ostreida, Ostreidae. The record is from RefSeq and is a predicted model, not a curated record.